AGAUAACACAAUGCAAUGUGAAUAUGGUCAAAAUGAGUUUCACGAGCCAUUGAAGAGAUAUGACCAAGAAAUAAGUCCUUAGCUGAUAGUAGCUAUUGAUUUUGCAAGAUCUUCAGUAUCAAAAACAUCAACAUCGACUUUGUAACAACCCUAAUUUGUAAAUUCCUUUCGUUUGGUUUUAAUAAUUUUUUAUUCUGUUACUGCAGGAUAUUGCUGAAAUGUUUCAUCUUUGUGCCCUAAUUGCUAUGAAAUUUGCAUUGCAUAAUUUGAAAGAUUCAGACCAUCAAAUGAGGAAUAGAACAAUUAAAGCAUUGAUUGCUUUGGAAGUGUUGAAUUUAUCAGUAUUACUUUGCAGCGAAGAGUUCAUCCACAAACUAAACAAGGAUUGGAGAGAUGAGGAUAGACCUACUGAUGUCUUUUCGAUGUCUCAAAAUAUACCUGAACUUGAGCUUCAAAUUUUAAUGGUGGGAGACAUUGUGAUUUUGGUGGAGCCAGUAACAAGGCAUGUAGAAGAAAGGAGAUGUAGUUCACUGGACGAAAUAAACAUCUUACUGGAGUCGAGAACAUGAACAAGAUAGCAAUAUAUCACUUUCCGGACAUUUAGGUUGGGCCUGCUUUGAUUAUUUUGGUUGAACGUUCGGUAUUACAGGAUACUAGAGAAGAUCAUUGUUUAACAAAAUGAUGAAGGAUGCCACCUAAAGUUAAGUAUAUUUGGCAGCUACAUUUUUUCCUCUUACUGUAUCGGAUAUUUUUUCAAGUGCCAGUACUUAUUUACUUGUGAGAAUUUUAGGUCGAAACAUAGAUUAUGAAAAAUCAAGAGCUUAAUUUUUUUUAAAAAUAAUUAGCAAGAGGUACUCUAAAUGUAGGCCAGCAGUAUGAAAAGAAAAAAAAUUGCUUUCUAACGUAUGUGGUGUGUAUUAGUUUGCUUGAAUGAUGUGUAUAUAACAUCCUUUACGUAUUUAUUCUUUCCAAAUUUAUGUAGGACCAGAAAAUUCUAAUAUUGGUUGGAGCAAGACAACCAACUAGAUGCCAGAAGAGUGGCAACUCAGUUAGCAAUGAAAAUUAGCUAAAAAAGAGAAGAUAUUUACUCUAGCCAUGGAUAUGACCGAGAGAAUAAUUCAAAGCAACGUGGUAGAGUUUUGCUCUUACUACUUGUAUCUUUACGGUGUUGUUUCUUAUUAAUCUAAUAGAAUUUUAUUUUAGUUCAGUUACAACUUUCACUAUCGCUUACCUAAGUGAUAGAUCAAAGGUUUUGAACAUUGAAAUUUGGAAAAGAUUUUUACGAGGAGCAAA
Non-coding RNA from Solanum lycopersicum (tomato), 1293 nucleotides. NCBI's taxonomy places the organism in Eukaryota, Viridiplantae, Streptophyta, Magnoliopsida, Solanales, Solanaceae. The record is from RefSeq and is a predicted model, not a curated record.